Molecule: non-coding RNA, 849 nt
Organism: Heterocephalus glaber (naked mole-rat)
Lineage: Eukaryota; Metazoa; Chordata; Mammalia; Rodentia; Bathyergidae
Source: RefSeq, a predicted model, not a curated record
AGCCCGGACGACUCUGUCUUUUUUCCUUUGAAGUGUGUUUUUUCUUUCAUCCUCACCCCUCCUCUCAGGUACUGUUCGACUAGUGACGGCGGGUCCCGUCAUUCCUCUCUGAGUGUCUUGCAGAAUUGAGGAGUGAAACCAUUAGGACCUCGGCUUUUUUUAGUUUGAGUUUCAGGCCUUCUGCCAGCAUCAAGGAGCUGUGUCAUGCUAACCUGUUGGCUUGUGAGCAGGAUAAAAUUCAAGACCCAUCACAAUACUGACAAAUCCCAAAGCAGCCAACACAUCUGUACAAGAAUGCAGACUUGAUGGCUGGAGCACAAACAGCUAACUGGGACUAUGACACAAAAAGCCACAUGUUGAGAAUCCUGGAAUACAAAUGUUCAGAGGAAUCUGUUUUCCUAAUAUCAUGCAGUGCUAUCCCAACCUGACAGUUUCUAAAAUAGAAUCCCUUAUUUUGGAUUUGGGAUAGUUUGAAGCUGAACUAUACCCUAAAAUUAGGAGAACAAAGAAUCAGAAACCUUGGUCACCGAGAAAAUACUGACACUAUGAACAUCAAUAAAGAUAUCAUAACUAGUGCAAGCCUUCAAAAAGAGAAGAUGAAUAAAUACUCCAUAAAAAUUUCUGAAGUGCUAGCAGGAUCCUGAGGAUUCUAUCACUCUUACAGAAAACUAAAUUUCCUGCUGAUAACAUGACAACUUAAGUUGGAAAGACUGCUUUUGAAGCUGUCUUCCAGAAUGCAGGAAGUGAAUCACACCUCUGCAUUCAUGAAACAAGUUGCUUUAACUUCCUAAAAGACCAGAAAAUUAAUACAGAAUGGAAGAAACUACUUCCAGGGAAAGGAAAUUUAAC